UCCAUCUAGAGAGGGUAGAGAGAGAGGGAGGCAAGCUAGAGAGAGAGAAAGGAAGGCUGCCAUAUUUUUCUAGAGAAGAAAAAGAAAGGAAGAAGAAUAAAAGAAAGAGAAGGAGAAGGAGAAGAGGGUUUCGAACCCUAGGUGACAAGGUUUUCUUGCUAGAGUGUUCUUGAUUCAACAAUCAAGAGAGGCUCAUUGAGAGGUUGUGAAUUUACUUAGCUCGGACCUGAGCUCACCCCCUUACAGGUAGCAAAUAGGAUUUCUCUGUGGCACGCGUGGUGACGUGAGGAGUUCUAUCGUCGUAGGGUGUAUGGCGUGGAGUAUCCUAUGGACGAAAUAAACGAUCACUUUAGGAUGCCAUUUUAAUUAUGUUAUGUUUUAAGAGACUUUCUAAAUUAUCAGUGGGACUUAAUUAUUUAAUAUUGUUUCUUUUGAACUUUGCAUAAAAACUCAUAUUUUCUUUUUAAACUAAUGGGCCCAGCUUGCAUUGUUUUAAGCAAGUCCCCACUGAGACCUUUAUAAAAAGUGGUUUUCUUUAUGGACCAACGAUAUGUGAAUGUUUUAAUAAGUACUAGUCUAGGGCGUUCUUCACAAAAUUGGACACAUGUGUGUGCCCAAGUGUGACAUAUUUUGAGUUACAAAUUUGUAACUCCCAAAUAUUAGCCAAUAAUGUGCAGAUUGUAUGUUAAAUAUUUGAGAUUGGAUUUCACAAAGCCAUUAUGAAAUAUGGUUGUUGGAGACAUGUUAUUAACUCUCAUUAGGUGUAUGGAGGUUACAAAAGCAUGUUGGAAAGGGUUUGGGACGUUUUGGAAAAACUGAAAUUUUAUGUGCUUAAAAUGGCAGGUUGUCGCAGCCACUGUUUAUCCCUAGCCGCGGCUUGGGGGACAGAGGCCAGUGGCCGUGACCACUGAUACUCCUGGGCGCGACCAGUGAGGCUGACAACCAAUACCACUUUUCAGUUUUUUUCCAAAUUGAACGGUUAUAACAUCCUAAGUAACUCUCAAACCUCCAUUUUAAUUCAAUAAACAUCCAAUUAAACAUUGGUAAAAACCAUGGUGGUUGGUGGAAUUUGAAAUUCAAACGGUAUCUCAAACUCUAUAAAUAGGAGCCUAA
Humulus lupulus (European hop) is the source of this 1113-nucleotide long non-coding RNA. RefSeq lists it as uncharacterized. The transcript has 4 exons. Lineage: Eukaryota; Viridiplantae; Streptophyta; Magnoliopsida; Rosales; Cannabaceae. The record is from RefSeq and is a predicted model, not a curated record.